Molecule: ribosomal RNA, 468 nt
Filed under: uncultured bacterium
Lineage: Bacteria
Description: partial 16S ribosomal RNA
Rfam family: Bacterial small subunit ribosomal RNA
Source: RNAcentral
GACGAACGCUGGCGGCGUGCUUAACACAUGCAAGUCGAACGGAAAGGCCCUGCUUUUGUGGGGUGCUCGAGUGGCGAACGGGUGAGUAACACGUGAGUAACCUGCCCUUGACUUUGGGUUAACUUCAGGAAACUGGGGCUAAUACCGGAUAGGAGCUCCUGCUGCAUGGUGGGGGUCGGAAAGCUUCGGCGGUUGGGGAUGGACUCGCGGCUUAUCAGCUUGUUGGUGGGGUAGUGGCUUACCAAGGCUUUGACGGGUAGCCGGCCUGAGAGGGUGACCGGCCACAUUGGGACUGAGAUACGGCGCAGACUCCUACGGGAGGCAGCAGUGGGGAAUAUUGCACAAUGGGCGGAAGCCUGAUGCAGCAACGCCGCGUGCGGGAUGACGGCCUUCGGGUUGUAAACCGCUUUCGCCUGUGACGAAGCGUGAGUGACGGUAAUGGGUAAAGAAGCACCGGCUAACUACGUG